Molecule: unclassified non-coding RNA, 285 nt
Filed under: Hevea brasiliensis (rubber tree)
Lineage: Eukaryota; Viridiplantae; Streptophyta; Magnoliopsida; Malpighiales; Euphorbiaceae
Source: RNAcentral
GUAAUAAACAGGAGGGUAAAAGGAGGUACAUAUAAGGGCUGCAAUUCCAGCAUAGUCAAGUCUAAGCAUAAUGUAUGACAAGCGUUCAGAAUGGCAGGAGAGAAGGUGGCAUGUGCUGCUAGCUAGCAAGCAAAACAUGGCCCCGCCGAGGAAAGCAAAAAAUGGCCAUCGUGUGAUUGGCCUCACCAUCAGGGGGGCUAUCAUGUUUGCCACAUCCUCCUUCACGCUAAGCAGAACACAGACAUCUGUGUGGUUGCCACUGAAGAAUCUCUCAGGCAAGCAAUU